AGGGUUCUAGUACGCAGCAAUGGCUUCUGCAACCUUUAUCUGAAUGUCCCACAAGAGCCCUAGUUUCCGCUGAAAGAGCUAUGUUUCAAUUGCUUGGCAUCCUUUCCAAAUUAACUUCUUGUAACUGCGACUGAAUAGAAUUUGUCUUGGGCCAAAGCGUCAUAGGGGGAGCGCGCCCUCAUACCGGCGGAGCCUUGUCUCUGGCAGAGUGCGACUAUGAACGGGCACACAGAGGACAUGGACGGAGUUGGGGGCCAGCAUUCUGUGCAGGAGCGAUUGGGACCUCGAAAGCUUAUCAAUCGCACCGAGUUCGUGCGCCUUCUUGAGCAGGCACUCCAUCGCCUUGGCUAUGCUGAAGUUGCAAGCCUUUUAGAACAUCAAGCGGUGCGUAUAUUGUAGCAUUUGUACUUCCUCC
This 415-nucleotide long non-coding RNA is filed under the name Volvox carteri. RNAcentral's name for it is "long non-coding RNA (VCAR_LNC001915)". Lineage: Eukaryota; Viridiplantae; Chlorophyta; Chlorophyceae; Chlamydomonadales; Volvocaceae. The record is from RNAcentral.